AAAUUUAUUUAGCGGUUUUUUUAAAUUCUUACAGUUUUACAUGAUUAAAUUAAGUAGGAGUGGAAAAGGAAGCAAAUUAAUCUCCAGGGUCUCCAAGGCCAAAACAAUGAACAAAAACUUCAAGGUUCACAUAAAAAAGAAAUGGCAGAGACCCUACCAAACUUCCACUAACUUCUAAAUACCACGACUAAACCGUAAAAUUGGCUUCCAAAGCACAAAUCAAAGAAAGCAAAAACAGCACUAAUGUUUCCCAGGACUCAGUAGCCAAAAGACAAAGAGAGUAACACACUUGCUGCUGGGGGGAUUAUGCUGCUCCACAAGUGAUCUUGAUGCUGCUCAGCUGUGUCAAUCAGGUGUAGAAACCUGGAACAGAGAGCGAGGGAGAGAGCAACUCUCUUGCAGGAAGAGGCCUAAAGGUCAGUGGAUGUAACACAAACCAAUCCAACAUCUGACAGUUGAUGAAGUUACUUCAUAAUUCAUGUUUGGUAUUAAAGAAAACCACCCAGUGAGGCUGAGUCUUUCUGAACUGAAGAGGGAUGAGUUUUCCAGUCUGUGAAACAUUGACUGGCUGUGAUCUUCAGACCAUCUGGUGGCAGUGCCUUAAACACUGUCAUGAUUUUGAAGAGAAAAUAAUUUUUGUGGUCAGAAACAACUCUGAAAACCAUUUUCAGUCAACACAGUUCAUUUCUGCAUCGAAAUAACAUCUGAGCUCAUUAAACAUAGAUUGAAGAGAAGUGGGAAACUGUACUGCUGUUUUCAGCACACAGUCCAAAGUAAUGUAAAGUGAUGUAUGUGGGGGCUUGGUAGCCUGGACAUCUGUGAAAGCCAGCCAGUCGGUACAUAAUGAUACAUACUGGUUUUGGAGUAACAUCGGCUGCCAUCCAGAAGAUGUCUCUGUCAGGGAAGGUCCUUCAUGUUUCAACAGGUUGUCUUUGUGGUAUUUCUUUUAAAGUAUAGGCUCUAAGUGUCUCAUAAAAUGAUUAUCUGUUUUAUUUACAAUUUGAAUGCAUGUCUGAGCAUUUUUGGAAGUUAUUAUGAAUUAAAUUAUCUUGUCUUUUUAAUUUCAGGUGACUGUGUUGCAGUUCCACCUUCUUCUGCCCUCCGUGUCAGUCUUAUUUUGGCAGUUUUUCUCAUUUGUACUUGUACAACAGUCAUUGUUCUGUGGAUAUGGAGACAAAACAAAAUCAAAGAGAAAAGGAGGCAAGCUAAGGAUGAAGCUGAGGAGAAAGAGAAAGAGCAGCUGUUGGCAGAAAACAAGAAGUCUGAAGAACUACAGCGGAAAGAGGAAGAGCUGAAAGACCUGGAGGAGCUGGUUAAUAUACUGAUUGAACAGGAAAACGAACUGAAGAAAGUAAAAAAUGAACUCAAACAACAAAGGGAUAUGGUGGAUGGUGAGGUGGAGGAUAUUGAAAACAAGCUUCGGUCAGUGGAUAAGAACACAGAAAGUGACAGAGCAAAGGGAUACAUGGAUCUGAAAGAAAUAAUAACAGAAAGCAAAAACAAAUUACUAAAGAAAAAAGCAGCAAAUUCAGUGCUGCAAACAAACAUUGAAAACCGUCUGCUUAGAACACAGCACAUACAUGAUAAAAUGACCCAAAGAAAACCGGAAGUCGAGAAACAACUGGCAGAGUUACAGAAACAGACAGAUGAGAUUGAGAAGACACUUAAUUUAGAGCAAAAUCAGGAAACUUUAAACAUUUAGAAAAAAUCUCAAACCUCAUGUAGAGAGGUUUGAAAAGUACUUCUUGUAUCUGCUGAUGGUACGUACCGCCAGCCUGUCCUUCCGUGAUGGCUCAUCUCAUCCCCAUCUUCCCUUCUUUCUCAGGUGUCUGCUACCUGAGGUAUUCACUAAGCACAUCAUCUGUUGUGGCCAUCUUCCUGAUGUACUCAUGGAUGUUUGUUGUCCCAUCCUGGACGGUGGUUCUGACACUCAUUAAUGCACGGUCACCUUUCUUUGGUUUAGCGCACAGACUCAGGGUGAUGGAUUUGGGGUGAAUCAGAAUUAGAAUAAGAAUAGUUUAUUAAGCCUUAAUUAAACUAUGUGUGUACACCUUCUCCAAGAUAAUAAGAACAGUAACAGACUGAAAUUAAAUAAUACAAUAUAUAACAAAGUUACAAAAUAUAAGAAAUAGCUCUAAUAUAUGCAAAUAUACAGAUUAUAAAUAUCCAGAACAUUACAGGGAUUAAAUAUGUAUGGUUUUACUCUAAACUGUAAAGUGUAACUGAAACCCCAUGCAUGGUAAAGAGCUUCCUUGUCUUGAUGUCAGUGGCUUUUAUCUCUGCCUUUGGCCAGCUUAUUAUCCCACCAGGGUGCCUGAUCACGGGUCAGAUACAGUGUGUUGAUUGCCUGGAUCUUGUUCUUCCUAUUCAGCUGACUCUUCAGGUCUUACCUGACUCUCUGCAGGUAUUUCACUGUUACAGCUUUCCUGGCAGCCUCUUUGAGGUUCCCAUGUGUAUGGGCUCAAAUUGUGGUCAUAAAUAUUUUGUACUUGUUAAUCAGAAUGUGUAGUUGUGAGUUUUGUAACCUUCAAAUGAAAAUAUAUGAAAAUAUGAUGUUUUUGCAUCUAUAAAUUAGAAUUUGUGUGUGUGUGUGUGUGUGUGUAAAAACAUUUGUGUUACAAUAUUUUUUUGGUAAGGUCUGCUUACAGAUACAAAGCAAAAAAACUAUGUGUAAAACUCACGUUUCCCGGCUGCGUGUGAAUUUCAACUUACAAGUACGAAUUUUUACCCGAUUUUUCUUCUUUUCUUCAAUUUAAACUCCAGUUUAAAUUUAUAAAGUCAUUUCCACCUCAUGUUCUGUCAAAUAUUUACAUCGUCUCCAAGAUCCAACUGUGAUAAACAUUUUUCAGUCAGUGUGAUUGAUAAUAAUAGGACAAAUGAUCACCGAUCAGUGUGUAAUAUGCAGUCAAUGGAACUGACAGUCUGACAGUUGUAUUAAUGCCCACAGACUGGCACAGUUAGAAACAUGGAGACUAGAUUUUACUCUGAGCUGACAAUAAACCUGUGGUCCUGUGUAAUAUAAAUAUACACACACACACACACACACACACACACACAUAUCCCCAACUAGCCAUCCUCUCUGAGACUGAUUCAAGACUUAUGUUAUUAUUGGGUGAUAGCAUCUCAAAAUACGAUCACCCUCAACAUCUUCUCAGAUCCAUUUCAUGCAAAAACGGAGCAAACUAAAAAUCUGUGUCAUUGUAACCCAGUGUUAAGUUAGUCUUUUGAUAUUAUGUGACAUUCAGUUACAUCUAUUGGUUGUUUUGUUAGAACAUGCCCUACAGUAAUUGCAAGUUUUACAAUGUCACUGAUUUAUGCCUGUUUCACGACAGUCAACUGGGGAGUAAACUCUGGUGGGAGGGGCUGUGAACUCACAUGGCCCGUGGCAGUUGCAGAAUAAGCUUGUGUGAGCCAGCCAUGAUAUCUGUACAAGCAGUAGCCUUAAGAUAUUCACUAUUCAUUCUCCUGCUAGUGGUGGAGGAGACUUUUCUUAUGGGGAAGAGGCCGUGCGGUCCUGCCGUCUUACUGGUGCCACUGAGAGAGGCUACAUAUUCUUCUGGAACAUCGAGUUUUGGACCCAAGUAAUCACAGACACGUUUCACAAUUUAUUCAGGGUCUGACAGCAGUCCACCAUCUCUUCCAAUAUGUAAUACAAAUUUCCGGAUUGGAGCAUGUAUGUUCUUGAGAACUGACCGUGUCCUCCCCACACCAGGGGAAACCAUAGGGUCCUGAUGCAUUGGAGAUUUAAAAAAAAAAAAAAAACACUCCUGUGAGUUAGGCCAAAUUCAUCUGCCAAGACAGAAGCGUUUGCAAGAGACUCAACUUUUUGUUCAUUUAAAUAAAAUACCACAUGCUCUAGCGAAGAUAGAAACGAAGAUAGAAAUGCCUUGAAUCCGGAUGCAUGCAUGUGUCCAUGUCCGCUAUCAGCAGUCCGUGAUGGCAUAGCUCCAUCACACAUAAGCUGCAACAAAACAAGCAGCAGUUGAAUUCUUAAAAGUAUGUUGAUCUGAUCAGCUUCCUGCAGCAGGUUCAAAAUCGCUCUUUUCAAUUCAUCUCUGUUUGAUAAUUUCUCAUCACUAGUAUCAGAAAUAAAGGUAAAUCAACAUGAUCAGCAGCGAAAGCAAAUGAAUCUGUCCAAGCAAAAUUAAACACUAUUUUCCUAAAGUGUAAAUUAAUGUCAAGUGUUAACAAACCACUGGUGUAUGAUCUGUAAUCAGAGCUGUGAAAUGCAAUUAUACAUGAUAGCCUUUGACUUUAUGAUAUUUGGAGCCAAAAAACUGUGAGGUGGCAGACCGUGGUUGAGUGGGACCCAAAAUGCAAGACUCUUGCAAUGAAAACAUGUCUUUAUUAACAGUGAAGGAAAUAAAAGGCAAACAAAAUUUCCCCUUGCGCUCCCGACUCCAUCUUGUGUCUUCUUCCCGCAUCCGUGCUCCGUGUCUCCGCUCCCUGUGUACUAUUAGCUCGCUGCCUCCUCGUUUCCGCAAUUCCUCCUGGGAAACACACACACAGGCAGACGUUAAUACAAUUCCAAAAACUGCGGCAGACUCACACUUACUAAGUUGCUGGGAAACUGAUGGGUAGUCACACAAUGAUCCAGCGUCGGAGACAGCUCCACCACACUCCUAAGUAGCUCCUCCGACAAGGCUUAAUCAGCUGCAGGUGUGAGUAAUUUUCCUCUGCAGGUGUGGCCAGGCUCCUGGCUUACACACGCACGCACACCCACCUAGAUACACAAACAUUGAAACAGGAGACAGCAGCACCAAAAACACACAUGUCCGUCACCCAGACCCAGGGCCCGUGACAAAAGGUUUAAAUUAGUAAACGUGUCACACACAAACAAACAAUACUCAAUACUUCAUCAAUAUGAACUUUACAUGUAAAUUAAAU
This is a long non-coding RNA of Oreochromis aureus, 4887 nucleotides long. NCBI's taxonomy places the organism in Eukaryota, Metazoa, Chordata, Actinopteri, Cichliformes, Cichlidae. The record is from Ensembl.